CGUCUCCUACGGGAGGCAGCAGUAGGGAAUCUUCGGCAAUGGGGGCAACCCUGACCGAGCAACGCCGCGUGAGUGAAGAAGGUUUUCGGAUCGUAAAGCUCUGUUGUAAGAGAAGAACGUGUGUGAGAGUGGAAAGUUCACACAGUGACGGUAACUUACCAGAAAGGGACGGCUAACUACGUGCCAGCAGCCGCGGUAAUACGUAGGUCACGAGCGUUAUCCGGAUUUAUUGGGCGUAAAGCGAGCGCAGGCGGUUGGGUAAGUCUUAAGUUAAAGGCUGUGGCUUAACCAUCGUAUGCUUUGGA
Molecule: ribosomal RNA, 305 nt
Filed under: uncultured bacterium
Lineage: Bacteria
Description: bacterial SSU rRNA
Rfam family: Bacterial small subunit ribosomal RNA
Source: RNAcentral